RNAcentral lists this long non-coding RNA (283 nucleotides) under Mytilus galloprovincialis (Mediterranean mussel). The record is from RNAcentral. Lineage: Eukaryota; Metazoa; Mollusca; Bivalvia; Mytilida; Mytilidae.
UUGUACCUGUAGAAAAAUUAUUUCAAACGGGAUAGCACAUCCUCAUUUUUACGGAAAUGUUGUUAACCGUGCCCGGAAAUUUAGAAAUGAUCCAUGUAAACUUGUUGCUCCUUUAAAUAAAGUUAUUCUAAAAGGUUGCCUAUUCAACACUGUAAUAAGAUCAUUGAAUAUUGUUUUUAUAGGUAUUUAUAUUGAUUUUGUUAUCAGUAGAUUAAAAGCUAACUAAAUAUUACUAGUAUGUUAUAUACAUAUACAUUUUCAUGGAUCUACAAUCUGUCGAUAC